RNAcentral lists this ribosomal RNA (260 nucleotides) under uncultured bacterium. Its description in RNAcentral is "partial small subunit ribosomal RNA". It matches the Rfam family "Bacterial small subunit ribosomal RNA", at positions 26 to 290 of the family's 1533-position model. The record is from RNAcentral.
AGGACGAACGCUGGCGGCGUGCUUAACACAUGCAAGUCGAGCGGAAAGGCCCUUCGGGGUACUCGAGCGGCGAACGGGUGAGUAACACGUGAGCAACCUGCCCUUAGCUCUGGGAUAGCUCCGGGAAACCGGAAUUAAUACCGGAUAUGAUGCCGGCCGACAUCGGCUGGUGUGGAAAGUUUUUUCGGCUAGGGAUGGACUCGCGGCCUAUCAGCUUGUUGGUGGGGUAAUGGCCUACCAAGGCGACGACGGGUAGCCGG